CCUACGGGUGGCAGCAGUGGGGAAUAUUGCUCAAUGGGGGAAACCCUGAAGCAGCAACGCCGCGUGAGGGAUGAAGGUUUUCGGUAUCUUAAACCCUUUUGGUAGGGAAGCAAAUGCCGGUACCUGACCAAGAAGCACCGGCUAACUACGUGCCACCAGCCCCGGUUAUACGGAGGGAGCAACCGUUAUACGGAGUAACUGGGGGUAAAGGGGGCGUAGGCGGGUUAGAAGGUGAGGUGUUAAACCCUUGGGGCUAACCCCAGGACCGCAUUUGAAACUGGGGGUCUGGAGUAGGGGAGAGGUAGGCGGAAUGCGUGGUGUAGCGGUGAAAUGCGUAGAGAUCGCGAGGAACACCGAUUGCGAAGGCGGCAUGCUGGAUCCAAACUGACGCUGAGGCACGAAAGCGUGGGGAGCGAACAGGAUUAGAUACCCGAGUAGUC
This 440-nucleotide ribosomal RNA is filed under the name uncultured bacterium. Its description in RNAcentral is "partial 16S ribosomal RNA". It matches the Rfam family "Bacterial small subunit ribosomal RNA", at positions 338 to 795 of the family's 1533-position model. The record is from RNAcentral.